AGUGGUCAGGUGGGGGUGUGAGAAGAGCAAGUUUCCGUGUACAUCCUUGGCCAAGGACAUGAGCGACCUGCUUCUCGGGCUGGCUUGGCUUUGGCUUGGUGAAGGUGUACUGAUCGAUGUCGGCAGUGAGGAGGAUUUUGUGGAGAUCGUAGUGGGGGACAUAGUAGUAUUCCCCCCAAGGGCAUUAGCUGUGUACUUGGGAUGUCACCAAGCCCAUGGACAAGCUCUAACUUGAG
RNAcentral lists this small RNA (236 nucleotides) under Oryza sativa Japonica Group (Japanese rice). Its description in RNAcentral is "sRNA Os08g0501800". The record is from RNAcentral. Lineage: Eukaryota; Viridiplantae; Streptophyta; Magnoliopsida; Poales; Poaceae.